Molecule: ribosomal RNA, 497 nt
Filed under: uncultured bacterium
Lineage: Bacteria
Description: partial 16S ribosomal RNA
Rfam family: Bacterial small subunit ribosomal RNA
Source: RNAcentral
GAUGAACGCUGGCGGCGUGCCUAAUACAUGCAAGUCGAGCGAACAGACGAGGAGCUUGCUCCUCUGACGUUAGCGGCGGACGGGUGAGUAACACGUGGAUAACCUACCUAUAAGACUGGGAUAACUUCGGGAAACCGGAGCUAAUACCGGAUAAUAUAUUGAACCGCAUGGUUCAAUAGUGAAAGACGGUUUUGCUGUCACUUAUAGAUGGAUCCGCGCCGCAUUAGCUAGUUGGUAAGGUAAAGGCUUACCAAGGCAACGAUGCGUAGCCGACCUGAGAGGGUGAUCGGCCACACUGGAACUGAGACACGGUCCAGACUCCUACGGGAGGCAGCAGUAGGGAAUCUUCCGCAAUGGGCGAAAGCCUGACGGAGCAACGCCGCGUGAGUGAUGAAGGUCUUCGGAUCGGAAAACUCUGUUAUUAGGGAAGAACAAAUGUGUAAGUAACUAUGCACGUCUUGACGGUACCUAAUCAGAAAGCCACGGCUAACUACGUG